Molecule: long non-coding RNA, 573 nt
Organism: Nicotiana attenuata
Lineage: Eukaryota; Viridiplantae; Streptophyta; Magnoliopsida; Solanales; Solanaceae
Exons: 2
Source: RefSeq, a predicted model, not a curated record
UAUUAAACCCUGUGCACAACGUCAAAAUUCUUAUAAAUACUUCCGUAGACAUUGCUCGAAAUUCAACACCUAAAUCAUUCUCAAAAUUGUUGGUACUUUCAUAUAGUAUACUGUAUAGGUUAAGCAAUGGCAGCACUCUCAAUCUCCCUAAGGUCCGUAGUGAUAACACUUGUGAUCUAUGCUAUUCUCCUCUCUCCUUUGCUAUUAUCGUCAUGUGAUGCAGCUAGAGCCCCUCGAGUACUCUUGGGGAGCAGCAGAUUUCCCGUUGCAUGUCUUCACUGUGUGGGGUGUUGUGAACCAACACCCCCAGGUACCUGUUGUACCCGUUGUGGUUGUUGAAGAUCGCCAAUUUAGUCACCAUAUAUGCCUGUGAAGUCUGAAAUUUAUCUUUUGUACGAGUCAGAAGAAGUCUGAUCAGCAAAUUGGUGCGACUUGGAGUAAUAUGUGUAUGUUAUUCAAUAAAGAAACAACUUGGUUUCUUUAGGUUAUUUGGCCUGUUUCUGUACACUUGUUGGAAAUGUCGCGUUUGUAACGUUUAAUUAAUUAAGAGGAAAGCCUUAUGCGUUAUCUUUU